CGCCUCAAUUUGACAAAUAGAUUAUUAACCUCGCAGUAAGGCCAUCUUUUUUUCUAAUAAACAAAGUAUUGCUAAUUUGAAGGACCUAACAUCAGUUACAUAUGCCAACAUGGCCGGCCACAACGUGGAGCAUCUAUCUAACAAAUUGUAAUGUCUGAUUUUUUUUUUUUUUCCCUUUUCUUUUGGAAGGGGGAGGGGACAAAAUGAAAGAACUAACUAUUCAGCUUCCAUCUAAAAGUAUAAUGAUUUGUAUACAUACUCCUGUAUUGUAUCCUCCCACCUUGAGGAAAGUUCGGGAAGGUGACACUGGUGACACUCCCUUUAGCCAUGUCAACUCAACUAGCAUCUUGAACGAAAAGCUCCUGCAUAAAUCACCGUACAAGCUCUUGCUCCAAACUCUUUCAAAGCUUCUUCCAGAAAUUUAAAAAAAAAAAAAAAAAAAUAUCCAUGGGAAUUUGUUAGAUUAUCUAACAUGCUGUGCUUUCUCCAUCUGAAUUCUCAAAUGCCUCUCACCAUUUUGUAGACCAGGAUAAAUACUUAAUGCAUGUUCAUUUGCCCAGGUAACACCAUCCCACUAUAUCUAAAAGAGAGCACUCCAUACAGCUCCAUCCCCUUCACCACAUCUUUCAUGAACAAAUUUGAUCUUCUCCACUGAUUUGCAGAUUCCACUGCAGCUCCAGUCAAAAGAUGCAAUGCAUACAUUACCUGCCUGUGCCUUCCACUCACAAUCUGGUGGAGUUCCACAACACAUGUUGCGGUCAUCAAUGUGCUCAACCUCAAGACCGAUAAACCAUGAUCC
This 799-nucleotide unclassified non-coding RNA is filed under the name Hevea brasiliensis (rubber tree). Lineage: Eukaryota; Viridiplantae; Streptophyta; Magnoliopsida; Malpighiales; Euphorbiaceae. The record is from RNAcentral.